AAGGAUUUAAGUUAAAGGACAAACUAAUAGCCUUCAAAGCUGUAAAUAGGAAUACCUAAGCCUUA
Molecule: transfer RNA, 65 nt
Filed under: Coleoptera sp. 14 KM-2017
Lineage: Eukaryota; Metazoa; Arthropoda; Insecta; Coleoptera
Description: tRNA-Trp
Source: RNAcentral